GGAUUUCAAAACGCAAGCAUACAUUUCA
RNAcentral lists this non-coding RNA (28 nucleotides) under Rattus norvegicus (Norway rat). The record is from RNAcentral. Lineage: Eukaryota; Metazoa; Chordata; Mammalia; Rodentia; Muridae.